This 511-nucleotide ribosomal RNA is filed under the name uncultured Candida. RNAcentral's name for it is "eukaryotic LSU rRNA". It matches the Rfam family "Eukaryotic large subunit ribosomal RNA", at positions 61 to 665 of the family's 3401-position model. The record is from RNAcentral. Lineage: Eukaryota; Fungi; Ascomycota; Saccharomycetes; Saccharomycetales.
GAAACCAACAGGGAUUGCCUCAGUAACGGCGAGUGAAGCGGCAGAAGCUCAAAUUUGAAAUCCCCCCGGGGAAUUGUAAUUUGAAGAUUGUGUUUUGGAAACGACCGUGUCUAUGUUCCUUGGAACAGGACGUCACAGAGGGUGAGAAUCCCGUGUGGCACGGCCACCGUUUCCUUAUAAAACACUCUCGACGAGUCGAGUUGUUUGGGAAUGCAGCUCAAAGUGGGUGGUAAAUUCCAUCUAAAGCUAAAUACAGGCGAGAGACCGAUAGCGAACAAGUACAGUGAUGGAAAGAUGAAAAGCACUUUGAAAAGAGAGUGAAACAGUACGUGAAAUUGUUGAAAGGGAAGGGCAUGCCGUCAGAUUGUCAGUGUGGGUAAGAAGCGGGGUACAAAGACUGUGGAACGUGGCCCUCGGGUGUUAUAGCCACAGUUCAUCCCCCGUCUCUUUCCGAGGCCUGCUUUGAGGACACCGACGUAAUGACGGUACGCCGCCCGUCUUGAAACCAGGA